This 440-nucleotide ribosomal RNA is filed under the name uncultured bacterium. Its description in RNAcentral is "partial 16S ribosomal RNA". It matches the Rfam family "Bacterial small subunit ribosomal RNA", at positions 338 to 795 of the family's 1533-position model. The record is from RNAcentral.
CCUACGGGAGGCAGCAGUGGGGAAUAUUGCACAAUGGGGGAAACCCUGAUGCAGCGACGCCGCGUGAGUGAAGAAGUAUUUCGGUAUGUAAAGCCCUGUCAGCAGGGAAGAAAAUGACGGUAUCUGACCAAGAAGCCCCGGCUAACUACGUGCCAGCAGCCGCGGUAAUACGUAGGGGGCAAGCGUUACCCGGAUUUACUGGGCGUAAAGGGAGCGUAGGCGGGAGGGCAAGUCUGAUGUGAAAGGCGGGGGCUGAACCCCCGGACUGCAUUGGAAACUGCCAGGCUGGCGUGCAGGAGAGGUAAGUGGAAUUCCUGGUGUAGCGGUGAAAUGCGUAGAUAUUAGGAGGAACACCAGUGGCGAAGGCGGCCUGCUGGACGACAACUGACGGUGAGGCGCGAAAGCGUGGGGAGCAAACAGGAUUAGAUACCCUAGUAGUC